AGGAGGCUAGAAAAUACUUGAGUGGUUUUAGGAUUUUUUUCUAUUUGGUAAGUGAAAUUAUCUUCAAAUUUUGUGUAUUUAUAACUAACUUAGUUGUUGAGAAGUGUAUCAAAUUUUAAAUAAGAUCAAUGAUUUGAUCAAUAGAUAUUGAGGUUCUAAAUUAUACUAGGAUUAUAUUAAGUUGGUUAGGUUUUGAUUAAGAUUUAGUUUAGGAUUACGAUUUAGGAUUUGGUUAAGGUUUGAUUAAGAUUUAAGGUUGGACUAGAGUUUAAGAUUCGAAUUAGGAUUUAAUUAGGAUUUAGGAUUUAAUUUAAGAUUUGCUUAGGAUUUGCUUAGGAUUUGCUUAGGAUUUGCUUAGGAUUUAAUUUAGGAUUUUCUUAGGAUUUAAGAUUUAAGAUUUUUUUAGGAUUUAUGGUUUAGAAUUUUCUUAGAAUUUAAGAUUUAGGAUUUUCUUAGGAUUUAGAAUUUAGGAUUUGUUUAAGAUUUAGGAUUUAGGAUUUGCUUAGGAUUUAGGAUUUAAGAUUUAAAAUUUGGCCUAGAAUUUGAUUGAAGUCCAUUAGGAUUUUAAUUAGGAUAAAAUUAAGACUUGGUUGAGAUUUAUUUAAUAUAUAUUUGUAAUUAUUCUAAAAUUUCUUUAGGAUUUCUUAGGAAUUCUUUUGAAAU
Molecule: long non-coding RNA, 663 nt
Filed under: Physcomitrium patens
Lineage: Eukaryota; Viridiplantae; Streptophyta; Bryopsida; Funariales; Funariaceae
Description: long non-coding RNA (PPAT_LNC008635)
Source: RNAcentral